This 497-nucleotide ribosomal RNA is filed under the name uncultured Pedobacter sp. Its description in RNAcentral is "partial 16S ribosomal RNA". The record is from RNAcentral. Lineage: Bacteria; Pseudomonadati; Bacteroidota; Sphingobacteriia; Sphingobacteriales; Sphingobacteriaceae.
CACGGAGUUGGCCGAUCCUUAUUCUUCCGGUACAUUCAGCUAAAUACACGUAUUUAGGUUUAUUCCCGGAUAAAAGCAGUUUACAACCCAUAGGGCAGUCUUCCUGCACGCGGCAUGGCUGGUUCAGAGUUGCCUCCAUUGACCAAUAUUCCUUACUGCUGCCUCCCGUAGGAGUCUGGUCCGUGUCUCAGUACCAGUGUGGGGGGUCAUCCUCUCAGAUCCCCUAGUCAUCGUCGCCUUGGUGGGCCGUUACCCCGCCAACUAGCUAAUGACACGCAUGCCCAUCUCUAUCCCAUUAAUGUUUGAUCAUUGAAUAAUGCCAUUCUGUGAUUUUAUGCGGUAUUAAUCCGGAUUUCUCCGGGCUAUCCCCCAGAUAAAGGUAGGUUGCAUACGCGUUACGCACCCGUGCGCCGGUCUCAAGGAAGCAAGCUCCCUCUACCCCUCGACUUGCAUGUAUUAGGCCUGCCGCUAGCGUUCAUCCUGAGCCAGGAUCAAAC